GACAGAGGGUGCAAACGUUGUUCGGAAUUACUGGGCGUAAAGCGCGUGUAGGCGGCCAUCUAAGUCGGGCGUGAAAUCCCACGGCUCAACCGUGGAAGUGCGUCUGAUACUGGAUGGCUCGAGUUCGGGAGAGGGAAGUGGAAUUCCAGGUGUAGCGGUGAAAUGCGUAGAUAUCUGGAGGAACACCGGUGGCGAAGGCGGCUUCCUGGACCGACACUGACGCUGAGGCGCGAAAGCCAGGGGAGCAAACGGG
Molecule: ribosomal RNA, 253 nt
Filed under: uncultured bacterium
Lineage: Bacteria
Description: partial 16S ribosomal RNA
Rfam family: Bacterial small subunit ribosomal RNA
Source: RNAcentral